AGAUUGAACGCUGGCGGCAGGCCUAACACAUGCAAGUCGAGCGGCAGCACGGGUACUUGUACCUGGUGGCGAGCGGCGGACGGGUGAGUAAUGCCUAGGAAUCUGCCUGGUAGUGGGGGAUAACGCUCGGAAACGGACGCUAAUACCGCAUACGUCCUACGGGAGAAAGCAGGGGACCUUCGGGCCUUGCGCUAUCAGAUGAGCCUAGGUCGGAUUAGCUAGUUGGUGAGGUAAUGGCUCACCAAGGCGACGAUCCGUAACUGGUCUGAGAGGAUGAUCAGUCACACUGGAACUGAGCACGGUCCAGACUCCACGGGAGCAGCAGUGGGAAUAUGGACAAGUGGGCAAAGCCUGAUCCAGCCAUGCCGCGUGUGUGAAGAAGGUCUUCGGAUUGAAAGCACUUAAGUGGAGAGGCAGUUACCUAUACGUAUCUGUUUGACGUUACCGA
Molecule: ribosomal RNA, 448 nt
Filed under: uncultured soil bacterium
Lineage: Bacteria
Description: bacterial SSU rRNA
Rfam family: Bacterial small subunit ribosomal RNA
Source: RNAcentral